CGACGGGCCCGCACAAGCGGCGGAGCAUGCGGAUUAAUUCGAUGCAACGCGAAGAACCUUACCUGGGUUUGACAUAGUGCCGGAAACAUCUAGAGAUAGGUGCCCCCUUUUUGGGUCGGUUUUACAGGUGGUGCAUGGCUGUCGUCAGCUCGUGUCGUGAGAUGUUGGGUUAAGUCCCGCAACGAGCGCAACCCUCGUCCUAUGUUGCCAGCGGGUCAUGCCGGGGACUCAUAGGAGACCGCCGGGGUCAACUCGGAGGAAGGUGGGAUGACGUCAAGUCAUCAUGCCCCUUAUGUCCAGGGCUUCACGCAUGCUACAAUGGCCGGUACAAAGAGUUGCGAGCCUGUGAGGGUGAGCGAAUCUCAAAAAGCCGGUCUCAGUUCGGAUUGGGGUCUGCAACUCGACCCCAUGAAGUCGGAGUCGCUAGUAAUCGCAGAUCAGCAACGCUGCGGUGAAUACGUUCCCGGGCCUU
RNAcentral lists this ribosomal RNA (472 nucleotides) under uncultured Propionibacteriaceae bacterium. RNAcentral's name for it is "bacterial SSU rRNA". It matches the Rfam family "Bacterial small subunit ribosomal RNA", at positions 917 to 1381 of the family's 1533-position model. The record is from RNAcentral. Lineage: Bacteria; Bacillati; Actinomycetota; Actinomycetes; Propionibacteriales; Propionibacteriaceae.